This 204-nucleotide ribosomal RNA is filed under the name Staphylococcus delphini. RNAcentral's name for it is "partial 16S ribosomal RNA". It matches the Rfam family "Bacterial small subunit ribosomal RNA", at positions 1 to 198 of the family's 1533-position model. The record is from RNAcentral. Lineage: Bacteria; Bacillati; Bacillota; Bacilli; Caryophanales; Staphylococcaceae.
UUUUAUGGAGAGUUUGAUCCUGGCUCAGGAUGAACGCUGGCGGCGUGCCUAAUACAUGCAAGUCGAGCGAACAGAUGAGGAGCUUGCUCCUUUGACGUUAGCGGCGGACGGGUGAGUAACACGUGGGUAACCUACCUAUAAGACUGGAAUAACUCCGGGAAACCGGGGCUAAUGCCGGAUAACAUGUUGAACCGCAUGGUUCUA